AGCUGGUCCAAAGGUAGUGAGUUAUGUCACUUGAUUGUUCACAGUCAGUUACAGAUUGACCUCCUUGUUCUCGCCUUUCUCCUCUUCUCACUACUGCACUGGACUAGUCUAAA
Molecule: Y RNA, 113 nt
Filed under: Propithecus coquereli (Coquerel's sifaka)
Lineage: Eukaryota; Metazoa; Chordata; Mammalia; Primates; Indriidae
Description: Y RNA (ENSPCOG00000003176.1)
Rfam family: Y RNA
About the family: Y RNAs are components of the Ro ribonucleoprotein particle (Ro RNP), in association with Ro60 and La proteins. The Y RNAs and Ro60 and La proteins are well conserved, but the function of the Ro RNP is not known. In humans the RNA component can be one of four small RNAs -- hY1, hY3, hY4 and hY5.
Source: Rfam by way of RNAcentral